This is a long non-coding RNA of Phyllostomus discolor (pale spear-nosed bat), 1882 nucleotides long. RefSeq lists it as uncharacterized. Lineage: Eukaryota; Metazoa; Chordata; Mammalia; Chiroptera; Phyllostomidae. The transcript is spliced from 3 exons. The record is from RefSeq and is a predicted model, not a curated record.
CUUGAGAGAUCUGUUCCUCCAGUUCCCUCCUUUAUCCUGUGUGGCUGGCUCCAGUCCCUGAGAGAAAAUAACUGAGACACUCACAUAGGACACCGCAAAAAGGCAAAAGGACGCCAAGUAAACAGAAAUAACCAACUAAGGAGGCACUUCUAAAGUCCACACUGGGAAAGAAAACAGACCCCAAUCCCCAAGUCUGUGGACAAACACAAGUUUUCAUGUGAGCAGAGUCCAGAAUCCAAGGCUGUGAUGGAGUCUGCAUGAAAACAAGAACGAUGUGGCUUGGGGACGUUUCCCAUUGGGUUGGACUACAUUAGUGAUACUGUCCUGUGGCUUUGAUAAAAACUCCCUGUGGCGUCAUUAACAGAUGCAGGAGUGGGGGGAAUGGGAAUGCAGUGGUCUGAACACAGGCUCAAUAACGGUAGGCUAAUUUGAACGAAACCUUGGGCAGGUCACCUAGGUUCUCAAUGCGGGAAGGGGGAGGAGAGGCAUCACUGUGCUCCACUGUGAAAUAGGGAUUGAACUCUGUUGAAAUUAUGAACGCAUAUAAAUGUGGGCUGGAGGGCUGUGGGAGGCUAGCGCAGUGAAGGUGGCCAGGUGGAUUGCUAAUGACCUACAAAGCAAUCAAAGUAUCCAGAGUGGCCCUCUAAUCUUGACACUGGCUUUAACUCUUGUCAUAAUAGCAUCCCAUUAAUCAGCAUUCAAAUGCUGGUAUUCAAAACAAUACUUUUUAAGAAUAUUUAAGAAUACUUUUUAAAAGUUUCACCAAGAAGUUUAAAAUAUGCAUAGAAGUGACUAAGGAGUAACUAACAGUAUGCCAUUUCAGAUCAUAAAAGCAUAGAAUGGGAGAUGUGGGCCCAACACCCUCAGGGUAUAGUCAAGGGGAGGGAUCAGAAAACUACUAUAAGGAGAGGCAACACCACAGCAUUUCUACUACUAGAAAAGACUUAGUUUACAUGUUCUACUGAAGUAUUUAUUAAAUGUAUCUCCCGAGACUGGACCUUCUGGAAUUCCGUGAAUGUGUUAGAAAAUGUAAGGAAUCUGGGCAAUGGGUUUUUGUUGGCAAAGCCUGAAAUCCAAGCUUUCUAUAGAAUAUACAAGAAACUGAUAAAUAGCCCCAAAGAUCACAGCGUAGAAUUAAAAUUUAGGUUGUUCAACACAUUGACUGACCUAUGCUGAAAGCCAUUGCUUCAGAGCCUAUCAGAUUGUCUGAAUCAUCUGGAGAAUUUAAAAAUACCAAUUCCUGAACUUCAUCCCAGAUUCAUGUUUAGGAGUCUGAGGUGGGGCUCCUAAGUCUGUAAUUUAAAAAACUUCCAUGACUCCCAUGGCACAAUCUUGCCAUUUUGGGUACAUACAACAUAAAUGGUGCAUCUUAUAAGUGCUGGGAUUUUGGAUUUGAUGAAAUAUCCUUAGUAUGUGCCAGGUACUUCCAUAUACCUUAUUACAAAUAAUUUUCCCAAAUCUUUACAGAUCGUGACACUGAGGUUCAGAGAGACUAAAUGUGUCAGCAAGAGGGUGACCAAUAUUUAGAGCCCAGUCUUUCUGAACCCAAAUUAAAGACACUUUCCUCUCAUCUGCAAAUUCCUGACCCUCCCUGUGAACUUUGAACAUUCCUGAGCCAAGUUAUGUGACCACAAGUUUUCAGGGAAGAAAAAAAUAGGUGUUAUUAAACAAAUAAGCUCUUAGACUCUUUUAUAGGCUGAAUUGUAUCCCUCCAAAAUUCACGUGUUGAGGCCCUAACUCCCUGUACCUUGGAAUAUGACUAACUCGAAAGAGGGUCUUUAAAGAGAUGAUUAACUUAAAGCAGGGCUCUUAGUGUGGGGGAGAAUCUAAUCUAACUGGUGUCCUUAUAAUAAGGGGGAGAUGAGGACACAGAUAACACAGG